This 503-nucleotide ribosomal RNA is filed under the name uncultured bacterium. RNAcentral's name for it is "partial 16S ribosomal RNA". It matches the Rfam family "Bacterial small subunit ribosomal RNA", at positions 28 to 523 of the family's 1533-position model. The record is from RNAcentral.
GAUGAACGCUAGCGGCAGGCCUAACACAUGCAAGUCGAGGGGUAGCAGGAUUAAGCUUGCUUAAUUGCUGACGACCGGCGCACGGGUGCGUAACGCGUAUGCAACCUACCUUAUACUGGGGUAUAGCCCGGAGAAAUUCGGAUUAAUCCCCCAUAGUACUAAUGAAUCGCAUGGUUUAUUAGUUAAAGCAUUGCGGUAUAAGAUGGGCAUGCGUCCUAUUAGCUAGAUGGUGAGGUAACAGCUCACCAUGGCUACGAUAGGUAGGGGGCCUGAGAGGGUGGUCCCCCGCACUGGUACUGGGACACGGACCAGACUCCUACGGGAGGCAGCAGUGAGGAAUAUUGGUCAAUGGGCGCAAGCCUGAACCAGCCAUGCCGCGUGCAGGAAGAAUGCCCUAUGGGUUGUAAACUGCUUUUAUUUGGGAAUAAACCUCUUUACGUGUAGAGAGCUGAAGGUACCAAAUGAAUAAGCACCAGCUAGCUCCGUGCCAGCCGCCGCAGUAA